CAGGAGAGGAGAAGGGGUUGGGGCAGACCCACACUGGAAAAGCCAUGGCAUCAUGUGCGGCCGGACCCCUCAGCUGGUUCCCCCCCAGCCCACCCCGUGAGCCCGCGGUGUGAAUUUCCCUGCCCCGGUGCUGGCUGGGUGAGCUGCCCACAGCACUGCGCAGCCGCCGCUCUUUGUCUCCCUCUGAAGCGGAUCCCGGUUGGAUUAAAUAUCCCAGGCACUAGGACACAGGGAAUCACUCCUGCUCUGAAUGCUGCUGCUGGCUCUCCUUCUUUCACCAUGCAGCCCAUGAACAUGGACUUGUCCAGCAAGGGCUGGGCAGGAGUGACUAACAAAGAAACACCAAUGCAUGAGGGAUGUUGUGGCUCUUGCUGGCCCCAGGUGUGUGUGAAUCUCACCCUAACACACAGCCUUUGAAACACACUACAAAAAUUAAGGACAAGCUACCUCUCGCAGCACCUGGAAGUGUUGCCUUCAGUCCCUGUUCACAGAAGGAAAACGGCAGAGAUUUGGGAGAACAAGUGCAGGAUUUGUAGCAUCACAUCUGCCUCUUCUUCACCCAGAGCAGAGCAGAGGCAGUGAGGGGACAGGGGGCAGGAAUCUCAGGGGAGAGAGCAGCUGGAUGGUGCAGUCAAUUUUGAGUCUGUUCGCUACCUGUGAGCCUUGGAAAAAAUCACAUAUUGCCACUUUGAAGUUUUUUUAUGGAAUGAAACCAGUGGGACACCAGGGUGCCCAGAUAAUUCACCUGGGGGAUGCGCUCUCACUCUGCUUCCCUUGGAGCUUUGUGCAGGUGUGUGCACAGGUCAUGGGCAGCAUCUAGAGCUGCUGGGUUAAGACAGAGUAGCUCCUCUGUUCCUUAUCUCAGGCCAGCCACAUCGUGACUGAGGCUGGAGGAAUCACUGGGACAGGUUAACUGUGAAUGCCCCAAGCAUUUCUUUUGCAACACUUCUCGUGUCUCUCAACUCACACACAGUUUUUUUGAGGCAAGAAAGGCUUCAGGAUCUCCUCCAACAUGAGCAUGAAGCCACUGUCAGAGCAACAG
Molecule: long non-coding RNA, 1042 nt
Filed under: Lepidothrix coronata (blue-crowned manakin)
Lineage: Eukaryota; Metazoa; Chordata; Aves; Passeriformes; Pipridae
Description: lncRNA (ENSLCOG00000012464.1)
Source: RNAcentral